Molecule: long non-coding RNA, 738 nt
Organism: Poeciliopsis prolifica (blackstripe livebearer)
Lineage: Eukaryota; Metazoa; Chordata; Actinopteri; Cyprinodontiformes; Poeciliidae
Exons: 4
Source: RefSeq, a predicted model, not a curated record
AUGUGAGUGUCGCAUCUUAUUUCAGCGAGGAUCUUUGUGAGGAGCCCGUGGAGCUUGGCACAGGUGGAGGAGCAGCAGAAUCUUCAGUCUACGCUAGAUUGACUGAAGAUUCUACUGGUGUAUGCUAGAUGGUUGCAUACACCGGUAGUCACUCUGGCCUCUCCUGUUGUGAACAGUUUUCUGAGAACGUUUCUGUGUCUACUAGAAGUCACCUGGUCUCUGUGUUUGUUCGAUCCUAGGGGUUUUGUCGCCUCAUUCGAGAACUCACCAGUGAAUACCUGCCUGCUCGCUCCGCCGAUUCCACUGCCUCCACUCCACCCUUCGAGCUUCCAGCUCUCUUCCAUUCCCACCUCGCAUUUACCUUCGGAACCGCUGCACACCCUCUCUCCCUAACCCGCACCGAAGCUUCAAGAGGAUCAGCGUGUGAAGAUCACUUUAUAAUGAUUUGAAAAAGGUUGCCAUGGCUACAGAAAUUGGAGGAGCAUCCUUAGAUGACACAAUACAACCAGCUGUGCGAUUCCUCAUGUCCCAUGAACUGGAAGUCCAGUUCAACCUUUUUGGCCAACAUUGGAAACAAGCUCUUGGACCUGCGUCUCUUUGAUGUUUUGUAUGGGGACUUAAAAGAAAUUAUCCAUCUACAGAAUCACACAAGCAUACAGCAAAGACUCUCGAAGUGGUUUACUGGAGCCCGAGUGGAAGUGGAAAUAGACUAGAGAGACUGCCAGUUCAAACUCAGGU